CAUGCAAGUCGAACGGUAGCACAGAGAGCUUGGUCUCGGGUGACGAGUGGCGGACGGGUGAGUAAUGUCUGGGAAACUGCCUGAUGGAGGGGGAUAACUACUGGAAACGGUAGCUAAUACCGCAUAACGUCGAAAGACCAAAGAGGGGGACCUUCGGGCCUCUUGCCAUCAGAUGUGCCCAGAUGGGAUUAGCUAGUAGGUGGGGUAACGGCUCACCUAGGCGACGAUCCCUAGCUGGUCUGAGAGGAUGACCAGCCACACUGGAACUGAGACACGGUCCAGACUCCUACGGGAGGCAGCAGUGGGGAAUAUUGCACAAUGGGCGCAAGCCUGAUGCAGCCAUGCCGCGUGUAUGAAGAAGGCCUUCGGGUUGUAAAGUACUUUCAGCGGGGAGGAA
This 397-nucleotide ribosomal RNA is filed under the name uncultured Klebsiella sp. RNAcentral's name for it is "bacterial SSU rRNA". It matches the Rfam family "Bacterial small subunit ribosomal RNA", at positions 54 to 449 of the family's 1533-position model. Lineage: Bacteria; Pseudomonadati; Pseudomonadota; Gammaproteobacteria; Enterobacterales; Enterobacteriaceae. The record is from RNAcentral.